Long non-coding RNA from Osmia lignaria (orchard mason bee), 1421 nucleotides. RefSeq lists it as uncharacterized. NCBI's taxonomy places the organism in Eukaryota, Metazoa, Arthropoda, Insecta, Hymenoptera, Megachilidae. The record is from RefSeq and is a predicted model, not a curated record.
UAGAAAUAGGUGCACCACAUACGUCAGAAUUGCUGUUAUUUGAAACUUGAAGUAUUAAACCCUCGAUUAAUUAAAUCAAUAGUUAAGUAAAUAAUUAGUCCUAUAUCCGGGAUUUAAAUAACAAAUGCCCUGCUAAAAGAAGGAUUGAUCCGACGACAAGAGUUUCAAGAUAGACAACCAAGCAUCCCGUGCAAUCGUGCAAUCAUAGUGUCAAUACAGAAGGAAUCGGCAAGAAAGUCCUAGCCCGGUAAAUAAUAAUAUAUCAGCUCUGAAAAGAAUUUAUAGAUGCAGGACGCAGCAGAAACCAGAAGGCUUAUUAGCUGAGCGAUGGGGUGCACCUAGCCUACACCCAAAUUUAACCAUGCGUGUACUUGCAUAUUUACGCAUGCGCGUGUACAACACACACAUAAUCAUAAUCACAUAAUCAUCAAUCAGGUAAUGAGAACUGCGGACAGCUAUCGUACUUCAAAAGGGACAAUGAUGAUAUGCCAACAUACAAUCAUGAAGAAGCAGAGAACCAGAGGACAGAACAAAUAAUAAGCGGAACGAGCAACCAAAUCAUCAAGAGAAUAAAGGGAGAGGGAACUUAACGUAUUAACCAUAGACAUCCAUCGCCCGGCUCUGCAGAAUGGAUAUUCACCAAUCCAGCCAUCAACAUUUAUCUCAAAAUUUAGAUAAGAUAAAGAGUAAGUGAAUGAAAUAAAUAACAUAACCUCCAUCCCCAGAAAGAAGAUCCGUUUGUUAAAAGAGAAGAGAAUGGAGUGCUACAGAAUCAAGAAGCCAGGAAUGGUGUGCGUAAUAGUGCACCAUAGCAAUGCCUCAGAGUAAGUGAAGAGGGGAGGUCGCGUAGAUCACCGUCCCAUAAUUUAAGCGAGGAUCUCAAGACCAAAACCAAAAGCUGUCCGAACAUACUGGUAAGAGAAAAGGCAUCGUCAAAGGGUAGGGGAUAGGUAAUUAAGCAAAUACUAGAGCAAAUUAAAUUGUGGCUUUCAUCAAAAGAGCCAGGGGGUUAACAUAACUGCUACAAGAAGUGUAUUGGUGGUAAAUAUAACAGCAGUGAGGAUAAGUUUACAGAAUACGGGUGCAAGCUAUAGGCCUUAAAGGGUGCAUUAAUAUCAACCCUAAACCAUAUCAUAGCCCCCGCCAAUCCUCAGCAACCAUACUACACGGCCAAGAAGAAAGGGAGGCAACGGUCCGCCACCGCAGGUGCGCGGUCCCCGGAAGCGGUCCGCCCACCGGCCACGAAGAGGGCCACAAGGCAUGUCAUACAACAACCAAUUAAUGGACAGCAGCCCCACCCGUGCGCCAAUCUGAGCCAUCGAGCGGCCCGCGACAACCCAAGCCAUGAUAAUGGCCUGGAGCAGCGGACAGAAAUCCCCCGUGCACCAGAAUAAUACCAAGAAGUAGCAUGACAACAGAAC